UGAUGAAGGUCCCUAGGGUUGUAAAAGCCUCUUUUUGUGCGGGAAGAUAAUGACGGUACCGCAAGAAUAAGCCCCGGCUAACUUCGUGC
Molecule: ribosomal RNA, 89 nt
Filed under: uncultured bacterium
Lineage: Bacteria
Description: partial 16S ribosomal RNA
Source: RNAcentral